Long non-coding RNA from Manis javanica (Malayan pangolin), 706 nucleotides. RefSeq lists it as uncharacterized. The record is from RefSeq and is a predicted model, not a curated record. NCBI's taxonomy places the organism in Eukaryota, Metazoa, Chordata, Mammalia, Pholidota, Manidae.
AGGAAAGCAGAUUCUCUGCACAUCUCAGCAUUUGCCUUAUUCCAUCUGCUGAUCUGUCUUCUAGGAUUCUGGUGUCCUGUGAGGUGCUCCUUGCAAAGGUCUUCCACAACCAGAGAUGAAGUUGCUGAAGCUCAGAGAAGUGAACACACUCAUCCAAGCAUGUGUGGACACAGUGUGGAGAGCCAGGAUCACUCCCACACCUGCCUGAUCUGAAGUGGGAGAUGAUUUCCUAUCUCACCAGUCAACUUCCUUCAACACGGGCUUGUAAAGACCACUAAGGACUCAGGUUUGACAUGAGGAAGACCUUGGCAGGAGAGAGUAGAGAUGACCUAACACUGGGACAAGCUGGCACAGUUGGCACCCAGGACUCCUUGCUGCUGCCUGCAAGCCUCGCCAAAGCAUCCCUGUCUGGAGGAUGCUCACCUCCUGGGCUCGCCAGGGCUGCAGGUAUAAUUCCGGGGUCUUCAACUGUGCUGGCUCUUCUGCUCUGGGUCUGACCUGCCCGUACCUGUUGGUGUCAAGAACAGAUAUUUAUUGAGUCCCAGCCCUGACACCUCACUCUCUUGUGAGCCUUGGCUGAGCAGAAGGCCUGCCUCCCUCUGAAACACCCCAUGUGUGCGCCUGCAGACUUUGCUGAGGCUGUUUCCCAUCCUUCACGCUUUUUAGCCCUCUCCGCUUUUCAAAGCCAAAUUCAUUAUUAAACUUU